GACGAACGCUGGCGGCGUGCCUAAUACAUGCAAGUUGAGCGCUGAAGGUUGGUACUUGUACCAACUGGAUGAGCAGCGAACGGGUGAGUAACGCGUGGGGAAUCUGCCUUUGAGCGGGGGACAACAUUUGGAAACGAAUGCUAAUACCGCAUAAAAACUUUAAACACAAGUUUUAAGUUUGAAAGAUGCAAUUGCAUCACUCAAAGAUGAUCCCGCGUUGUAUUAGCUAGUUGGUGAGGUAAAGGCUCACCAAGGCGAUGAUACAUAGCCGACCUGAGAGGGGGAUCGGCCACAUUGGGACUGAGACACGGCCCAAACUCCUACGGGAGGCAGCAGUAGGGAAUCUUCGGCAAUGGACGAAAGUCUGACCGAGCAACGCCGCGUGAGUGAAGAAGGUUGUCGGAUCGUAAAACUCUGUUGGUAGAGAAGAACGUUGGUGAGAGUGGAAAGCUCAUAAAGUGACGGUAACUACCCAGAAAGGGACGGCUAACUACGUG
This 497-nucleotide ribosomal RNA is filed under the name uncultured bacterium. RNAcentral's name for it is "partial 16S ribosomal RNA". It matches the Rfam family "Bacterial small subunit ribosomal RNA", at positions 28 to 507 of the family's 1533-position model. The record is from RNAcentral.